GGGCUUCAUAGAUCCGGUUGAUGACGACAUUUCCAAGCUCGCACAUAAGCUUCGGGAGGCCCAGGCAGAGGCAGAGACAGACAGUUCCGGCUCCCACGAGUCAAGGGUCAGAGACCGGACUUUGGAGAAAUGAACACCAAGGCUCCUGGGGGGCCAGAGGAAGAGUCAGGCCCUCUGUGGGGCAGUGGUCUGGAGAGGCUCAUGCUGAGGAGUUGGGCAAGGAGGCUGGGCAGCUGGGGCCAUGGAGCCUUUACCUGUUCUGGCCGGAUCCUGCCUGCUCACCGUUCCUUCUCCCUUUCUGUGUUUCAUUUGGAGGCCCUCAUCCUCUCUAGCCACCUCCCUUCUCUCAUGACACUUUGGCCUGGAUCACUCUUCCCAUGUCAUCCCUUUCCCUCUUUCCACCUGACUGACUGAGGGUGAGAGCCUUAUAGACUUACUAAGGCCCCACAGCCUCUCCUCUCUUUGGUCUUCAUUACCUGCCCCUGCCCUCCCAGCAGUCCUGACCCCACACUUCCUCCAAUCAAGCCAAUAAACUCUUCUGUGUCUCCCAA
This is a long non-coding RNA of Galeopterus variegatus (Sunda flying lemur), 551 nucleotides long. RefSeq lists it as uncharacterized. The transcript is spliced from 2 exons. Lineage: Eukaryota; Metazoa; Chordata; Mammalia; Dermoptera; Cynocephalidae. The record is from RefSeq and is a predicted model, not a curated record.